This 1228-nucleotide long non-coding RNA is filed under the name Salmo salar (Atlantic salmon). Its description in RNAcentral is "lncRNA (ENSSSAG00000113360.1)". Lineage: Eukaryota; Metazoa; Chordata; Actinopteri; Salmoniformes; Salmonidae. The record is from RNAcentral.
AAAACUUCUUGUGAAGAAUUGAUGACUAAAACAUCUGCCUGUUAUUCAAACAAAGGAUUGGUGUGAUUUGGCAUUUGAUCGUACUGAUUGAUUUGAUUUGUGUUUUGAUAAUGUUUCAUACAUACCCUUAUUUUCUUUAGUGUAGGUUUGUGUGUUUGAGAUGCAUGGAUUUCCUGCAUAGUUUUCCAAUGGUCUCAAAUUGUUCCUAGUUUUAGCACCAUUGUAGCAGCAAUCAACAUAGAGCAAUUACUGUAUUUACACACAUUUCUGUAGUAUUAGUAAUAUUUCAGGUUCACAUGCCAUAGUAGGUUACACUCUACACAUAUCGGUUACUUAGACGUCACUCUGUUUAAUGGACCAUUCACGUGGUGGAUGACUCAGAUGUAGUGUACUGACGUGAAUGAGUCAGAAGGAGUUUUGCAGAGGUCCAACUUUGCUAGUCAUAAACAGUAGUUAAGUUCUAAAAGCCUUCCGUUAGUUUUAAAGUCUUCCGCUGUCUCCUACAUGGGAAAUGAGUAAGUGAUCACGGGAGCCUUGCUUUAUUCACAACACUAGAGAGACUCCUCCUGGACAGAGGAGCAACUGAGGAAGGAUGCGUCCGUUUGGGACAUAAUGACGUCUUCGAAGGGUAAUGGCACCUCCAGGUCCAAAAGAGCUAGCCAGGAACAAGUGAAGAAGCUGGAUGAUGAGAUCUGGGCAAUCCUCUCCAACUUUCCAGCCGGCUCUCCUCCCUUCCCUCCCUCCUCUUCCUCUGAGAGGAAGGUCCCCAGCGCCUCGUAUCGGGCGGGGUCUCGUACCCCCCUGAGGCCCCCCUCUCCUUCUUCCUCCCUCUCUGGUAUCUCCUCCCUGGUACGGCCUACUAGUCCUCAGCCAGCCUCCCCAGGUCACUCUCCUCGACAGCAGACUCAACAGCGGGGGACCAAGAACAUAGUGGGUCCUCCUAGUGCUCCCAGUAGCCCCAGGUCUACAGGGGCCUCCAGCCAGUACGCUUUGUUCUACAAAGGUUUCAGCUUGCACCCGGAUGACACGCUCUACUGGCAGCUCCCAGAGCAGUUCAAAGGGGAUAAGGUAACAGUACGAGUCAAGCUCAGCCCUCCUGCACCCUGACUGGGUGUUUACCCUUCGGUUAACCAUUUGGCCACAGAACCACCCCACCAUUCCUCCACUCGAACUAUCAGAGCUGUGGAAGGGAAAUUAAGGGAAGGGCAGCACCACCAGACAACCCUGU